CAUGUGUGAGGCCCUGGGCUCCAUCCUGAGCACUAAUUUUUAUUAUUUUCAUAAAAAUGAAAAAAAUAAACACGUGCUGUUUGUAUACAGCUACAAAAAUAAAUAAACAUUUAAAAAAAACCAAAAAACUGGCCAAGCACAGUGGCGCUCCAGAGGUUGGGGCAGGAGGAUUGCUCAGGUCAGCUUCGACAGCUCAGACAGACCCUAUCUCAACAUUAAAAAAAAAAGGGUCUGGGAAUGUAGCUCAGUGGUAGAACACCCCGGGUUCAAACCCUAGUACCUCAAAAUUAACAACAACAAGAAAAAAAAAGGUUUAAAAAUAAAUGUUAUUGCUGCUACUAAUUAGUUUCCCUAAUCCCACGUGGUUCCAAGUGUGACUUUUUUAAAUCCCCUUUUUCUUUAAUCAGCUUUACCAGGUGACAGUAAAAUUACUUAGGUCACAUCUACAUUCGUUUAGAAAUGAGGCAUGCGGGAGGCUGAAGUCCCUGGGAUGUGAGUCAGUUAUUAAAUCCACGUGACCUUAGAGAGAGCCCCUCUUGUGCCUGGCUGGCCGCACGCCCCACGGGGACUGGGUUAAGACUGGAAUCACAAGUGCCCUACAGAGGCCUCUCCUAUGAGUUCAGCAGGAGCUCGGUAAAUAAUAUCAGAACUGAGUCAUUUAUGGUUGAAUGACACAGAAUGAAAAAUAAAUGCCUUUCAGGCAGUUCCUGUUACCUAAUAUGGACGAAGAAGUAGGCACUUUAACUAAAGGCCCCACCUGUGACCCGCAUGAACUUUUCCCUAUAAGGAUGUUGAUCUAAUUUCCUGAUCAAAAAAGGAGUCCAAAAACACUGUAAAUGAUCUGUCUGGGCCUGAAAGAAGGCCUCUUUUCUCUUCUCAAAGACCGUGUCCAUGUAAGUCUACCAAGUUUAUCUUCUGAACAGCUGAGGGGGCUGUGUUUUGCUCGGUCCUGGAGAAUGGCCGUGCACCCUGCUCUUAGCUGCGGGAAAGGUGGAAUCACCCACCCAGAGCAGGACGGGAGGCAGAGUCUGUGGCACUGGGAGUGAGAAACAAGGUCCUGAAAACAAAUUCAUACUCAGAACUUGGAAAGAAGACUGGUAUCCUUAUAGGAUUUUUUUUUUUUCAAUACAACUGUCCAUUCUCCUGUGAAUGAUAAGCCUGGGCAGAGGAGGCUCGUGGAAUUGACAUGACCAGUGCCUAGACUUUCCUACCUGAGAGUAAAGGUGAAACGAUAGAGAACGUCCUCUUUCUUGGAGAAAUGAGGUUAAAUGGCUGUUCUCAGAUAAGUGAAUUAAACUUUGAGAGCCAUAAGGAAAAGGAGCCCUUUUCUAAGGAAGUGACAACAGAUUCAUAAACUGCAUGACUCAUCAACUGCUUUCCAAUUGCAAAACUGAUCAUGAAUCACUGAAGAAAAACUUAAAAUCUUGAAAAAUCUGAGUUGUCUUUCAGGAAUCAGCAACUGCAGUCUCUGCUGUUGGUGAACAUAUUCUUAUUCACUGGCCUGGAAUAACCUUACGGUGAUACUAAAAUAGGUCAAAUUGUUAGAAAUGUUUGUUUAAAAGCCAGACUGGGCUCUGAAAUUUCUUUUGGAUGAAUCAUAAGAAUCUGGGUGAGAAAAAGAACUAUGCUUAGAUAAAUUUGUUUGAAACAGGCCUUAGAGAAAAAUAAAGAAAUCUCUUUUAGUAGAAAACUGUGUAUUCCUAACGAAGGCUCUGGUUGAACAGCAACCUGAGACAGGAUGAAGGGACCCUGACCAUCAGGAUUCCCAACAGAGGGAGGGGCAGAGUUUACCAGCACAGACCUGGGAAGAGAUUCCUUGUGCAAAACCACUGUGGACAGGUGAGACUGGAGAUGGGAAGCUGUGCUGUGCUGUUGUCUAAGAACUGGAAACAAAUGCGUGACCCAAGGGUGCUUCCAAGCAGCUGUGAAUGAUGUCUACUCAGAUUUCAAUCAUUAACUUCAGAGCAGCCUUGGGCUGGUGUCCAGGUUCAAGAGAAAGGACAGAGGUAAUAAGAUUUAACUGGAAAGAUUGGAGUGAGUGAAAGAGGAGAAAAACACUAUUGGAGUGUAGGGGAAUUAUUUUAUGUUUAGAUAAGGAGAGUUCAGGGGAAGUUAUGGGCAGUUUGCAUCAAUACUUGGAAAACUGGAAUCUAAAUAAACAAUAAAAAUGUCUCCAGACCAUGUAAACACGAUGAGUUUUACAAUUUACCUAGAAAAUCUCUUAAAAUUUGCUUGCUGGAUUGAUGUG
RNAcentral lists this long non-coding RNA (2248 nucleotides) under Marmota monax (woodchuck). Lineage: Eukaryota; Metazoa; Chordata; Mammalia; Rodentia; Sciuridae. The record is from RNAcentral.